AUUGAACGCUGGCGGCAGGCCUAACACAUGCAAGUCGAGCGGAUGAAGGGAGCUUGCUCCUGGAUUCAGCGGCGGACGGGUGAGUAAUGCCUAGGAAUCUGCCUGGUAGUGGGGGAUAACGUCCGGAAACGGGCGCUAAUACUGCCUACGUCCUGAGGGAGAAAGUGGGGGAUCUUCGGACCUCACGCUAUCAGAUGAGCCUAGGUCGGAUUAGAUAGUUGGUGGGGUAAAGGCCUACCAAGGCGACGAUCCGUAACUGGUCUGAGAGGAUGAUCAGUCACACUGGAACUGAGACACGGUCCAGACUCCUGCGGUAGGCAGCAGUGGGGAAUAGUGGACAAUGGGCGAAAGCCUGAUCCAGCCAUGCCGCGUGUGUGAAGAAGGUCUUCGGAUUGUAAAGCACUUUAAGUUGGGAGGAAGGGCAGUAAGUUAAUACCUUGCUGUUUUGACGUUACCAACAGAAUAAGCACCGGCUAACUACGUG
This 484-nucleotide ribosomal RNA is filed under the name uncultured bacterium. RNAcentral describes it as "partial 16S ribosomal RNA". It matches the Rfam family "Bacterial small subunit ribosomal RNA", at positions 30 to 507 of the family's 1533-position model. The record is from RNAcentral.